AGGAUGGUUGUCUUUUUCUUUUUCUUUUUCUUUUUCUUUUCUUCUUGUUCAAAGAAAGGGGGU
Molecule: non-coding RNA, 63 nt
Filed under: Palpitomonas bilix
Lineage: Eukaryota
Source: RNAcentral